AACAACUCUACAGAAGUAGGUAAUGCAAUAGGAUUAGACUUGCUUUCCUUAUCCAACGAUUUGGCAUUAAUCUUCUCUGCACUAUCAUCAUGAAAAUAUGGUGAAACAUAUUGAACACCAACUGGAACUGUAUGUUUGUGAACUUCAGGUCCCAUUUUCUCGGGGUUGAAUUUACUGGUUGCAGCGCCAUCACUAUUCUCCCUCAGCUCCUCCUCAACUGAAUUAACCUUUUCAUCUACCAGCAACUUAUCUUCAACAAAUCCAAUGUCACAGCCAUAACAGCACAACUCAGGAUCAAUCUUCUCCCUGAUGUCACCCUGACACUCACGCUUCUUGAGUAUGUAUUUACUGGUUUCAUCAUCACCACCUUUGCUCUAUUCUUCUUUACCUUGGAGUUUACCUCUCUGUCUACCAGCAACUUAUCUUCAAGAAAUCCAAUGUCACAGCCAUAACAGCACAAUUCAGGAUCAAUCUUCUCCUUAUUGACACCUUGAGGCUCACGCUUCUUGAGUAUGAAUUUACUGGUUUCAGCAUCAUCACCAUUCUCCUUCACCUUAUCCUUCACAGCUUUUCUCUUCUUAUUCUUUUCCUUGGAUUUAAUCUUUCCAUCUACCAGCAAAUUAUCUUCAACAAAUCCAAUGUCAAAGCCAUAAAAACAAGAAUCAGGAUCAAUCUUCUUCCUGUUGUCACCUUCAGGCUCGUGCUUUCUAAGUAGGAAGUUACUAGUUUCGGUAUUACCACCAUUCUUCUGCAGCUUAUUGUCAACCAAUUUCUUCUUCCUCUUUUCCUUGGAUUUAAUUUUUCCAUCUACCAACAACUUAUCUUCAACAAAUCCAAUGGCAAAGUCAUCCUCUUGCAGCUUAUGGUCAACCACUUUCUUCUUCUUCUUGUCCUUGGAUUUAAUCUUUCCAUCUACCAGCAGUGUAUCUUCAACAAAUCCAAUGUCACGGACAGAACAGAACAAUUCUGGAUCAAUCUUCUCCCUGUUGUCAUACUGUGGUUCACGUCUCUUGAGUAUGAAUUUACUGGUUUCAGUGUCAUCACCGUUCUCCCGCUGCUCAUCUUCAACUGUUUUCUUCUUCUUUUGCUUGGAUUUAAUCUUUCCAUCUGACAGCAGCUUAUCUCCAACAAAACGAAUGUCACAACUACAAGAACACAAAUCAGGACCAAUCUUCUGCUCGUUGUCACCUUGAUGAGGCUCACGCUUCUUGGACAUUCUCUUCAUUUCCGAUUCGAUCUUUUCAGUUGCAAUUUCAUGUCCAUUCUCUUCACUGUCAUAACUACAGGAUUCAGCAUCAACCUUCCGCUCAGAGGCACCAAGAGGCUCAUGGUUCUUUGACCUUCUCUUAUGUUUUGAUUUGAUCCUUCCACUCACAGUUUCGUCACCCUUCCCUUCAUUGCCAUAACAACAGAAUCCAGUAUCAACCUUCUUCUGGUCAUCUCCUUGAGGCUCGUGCACAAGCUUCUUCAGCCUUUUUAUAUCCCUUUUGGAUGUGAUCUUUUCAACUGCAAUCUCAUCUCCAUUCUCUUCCCAAUUGACCUGCAUAAAUUUUUCACGUGCCUUCAUAAAAGUAAGGAAAAAGAGGGGGAAAAACACAUUUUUUAAGAAGUCUCCCCCAUUCCAUAGCCGUUUUCAGAUAAACAAAAGUUGUUCCUUUUUAUUUAGCAUUACAAAAGAAGGUAUCGUAUUAAUUAAGGUCACUUACUCCCUUCUUCCCAUAGUCGUUCUUAUUAAAGUUUGGAACUUUUUGAUGCAUUUUAGAUGUCUUCUUCCUCUCGUUACUGCUUUUGUAACUUCCAAUUCCCCUUUCUUCUUUAAUCUUCCCACUUACUUCAAUCACAUGUCCUUCUUUCUGGGCAGGCAGCGCUAAAACGCACUCCAUUCUCCUAAAAUUCUCCUGCUAUAACUAAAGACAAACCAAAGUCUGGGAAAAAAUGUAAGAGUGUUAAGCACAAUUUGCAUCAAAGAAUGCUUAACUAGGUCUAGGGAAAUAUGUGAUGAUCAGUUUCUUUAACUCACUCCACUGGUAAGCCUCUUCAGACUGUGAGGUAGGAUUGGAGAGAGCCAAAAUGAGAGGUUUCUGCAAGUCAGGCAUGACAGAGUAGUUAAUAUGUAAAAUUUAACUUGACAUAAGAAAUUACUAUAAGCUAAAAUCAUUUAAUAUUGAAUACCCAGAACCCAAAAUCACGCAUUCAAUCAAUAUAUCAGAUAGAAAGCAUGUAAUGUUAAAUAGCCAGAACCCAAAAUUUAGUUUUGAAAAAGGAAAAAGGAAGUAACCCUGGAAAAGGGUUUCUGGUGUUGUUGGAUUCAAGGUUGUGUAUUUCUCCAUUCUGCAACUACUCAUAUUCUCAAGAGCAACCAAAACGACCGCGCCACUGUUUCCCUCUUUCUACUCAUAAAAAAUAUUUUAAUGUAUUUUUUGUCAAUCACAUUCAUAAUUCCUUUUUAAUUGUUUUUCAUACAUUACUGUUAAAACGUAAUAUGAAUUAUAUUUUAAUAAUAAUAUACCAGGGCUAAAUUUUAUGUAUUUUUAUUUUUUAUUUUAUUUUAUAUAUGUGUAAAUAAAAUAUAUUUUAUAUUAUAUUAUUUUAAUUUAUUAUAAAUUUAUUUAUAUUUGUAUUUUUUACAUAUCAACAUAUGUACAAAAAACAAUUAUACAACAGACCUUUCAAAUUACUCAUCAGUUUUAAUUUUAUAUCUAUAUCUUAAUAUCUUAACUAUCAUAAUAUAUUUAUUAAAUUAUAAUCAUAUACUAUAAAAAUGUGAUUACGCGAACUGUAUAAUAAUAUAUUUAGAAAACAUAAAUACAUAUGAAUUUUUAAAAAAUUAAAAUAUUACAGGAAAAAUUUAUAUUAAUAUUUAAAAUAUAUAUAUAACUAAAUUUAUGAUAAAUUAAAGAUUAUGUCCUAAGGUCAUAUAUAAUUUUUUUUAUAAAACAAAGGAAAUCUCAAACUAAUGGAUGUAUCUUGCUGAAUCGAGUCUUUCGGUAUUGGGAGAAAAUAUUAAAGUAUGUAUCUUUAAUUGAACCGGAUAUUUUAGGUGUUAGUAUGAAUAUUGGUUAAGAUAUGUGUUUUUGGUCAAACCGAGGCUAUAGGUGUCGGAAAGAAAUACCGAUUAAGGUAUGCGUUCUUAGCCGAACCGAGUUUAUAAGUAUUAGGGGAAUAUUGAUUAAGGUAUGCAUCCUUGGCCGAACCGAAUCUUUAGGUAUCGGGAGGGAAUACCGGUUAAGAUAUGCGUCCUUGGCCAAACUGAGUCUUUAUGUAUCAGGAGAGAAUACCAUUUAAGGUAUGCGUCCUUGGCCGAACCGAGUCUUUAGGUAUCGGGAGGGAAUACCGAUUAAAGUAUGUGUCCUUGGCCGAACUGAAUCUUUAGGUAUCGGGAGGGAAUACCGGUUAAGGUAUGCAUCCUUAGCCAAACUGAGUGUUGCGAAAGAGUGUAAAUUUAAAAUGUACGUUUAGAUACACAUAUUUGAAAAGAAAUGUCUCAUUAAAACCUUCCUGACCGAAAACCUUCCUUAAGGAAAAAACGGUUAGGCGAGGAAAGAAUGUAUAAUUUUAUUGAUUUCAAAUGUAAUAGAAUUUGAGGUGUGUGACAUUUCACGUCAUCAAUACAAUUUUUCCUAAUAACCACUUUAGGUGGUAUGCCCCUCCCAGCUACAACAUCUCGAAUCCCAGUUGGACGAGAACUUGCCAUCUAUCUUCCUAGCCUCACUUCGCAUUCUCCACACAAGAUCUCCCUUCUGAAAGCUUCUCGACUGAACCUUCACAUUGUAUCGCUUGGUCGCCCAGAGCUUGCAUGUGGUUUCGCGAAUCUUGCUUCUGUCUCAGAGCUCUUUUAUGAGGUCGAGUCCAACUGACAAACUCUCAUGAUUAAGGGACAAAUCAAAGAUUUGCCUUCUAAGGGAUGGCUCCCCUACCUCAACCGGAAUCAUGGCCUCGGUGCCAUAGGUCAGGCUAUAGGGUGUCUCCUUCGUCGAAGUUUGGGGCGUGCAACGGUAUGCCCAUAAGACUUCUACCAACUUUUCAGUCCACCGCCCUUUCGUCGUGCCAAGCCACUUCUUUUACUCAUUAAGUAUGACCUUAUUCGCUACUUCGACCUGCCUAUUGGUCUGAGGGUGCUCGACUAAGCUUAUCACUGAGUUGAUGUCAAGGUCUUCGUAAAAAGAUUGAAGCCCUCGGUCAAUGAACUGUCAGCCAUUAUCAGUUAUGAUUGUGCGGGGAACUUCGAACCAGCAUACUAUGCACCUCCACACGAAGUUUUGGACGUUCUUGGUCGAAAUGGAGGCGAGGGGCUCGACCUCGAUCCAUUUGGUGAAGUAAUCCACCCCGACCAAGAGGAAUUUCGUUUGCCCUUUGCUCGGGCUGAAGGGAUCGAUGAUGUUCAUUCCCCAUAUGGCGAACAACCAUGGAGACACCAUGUUGUGGAGUGUCUCGGGCUUGAGAUGGGACAAGGGGCCAUACUCCUGACACUCAGUGCACUUCAUAUAUUUUGAACAGUCGCUCUGGACGGUCGACCAUAAGUAUCCGACCCUGAGCACUUUUGCGACCAUAAUUCUCGCGCCCGAGUGGCUUUCACACCCCCCUCUUGGAUCUCUUGAAGAACACACUCUGCCUGCUCCUUAGUGAUACACUUCAGUAGUGGCAUGGAGUAUCCUCUUCUAUAGAGGUCCUGAUCGAAUCAUGGUAUACCUGGCGCAUUGCUGCCUCAUCGUCUUCUCUUCAUCCGGCUUGGAUAUGCCGAGCUCCAGGUAUUUAAUGAUUGAGGUCAUCCAGGUGUCGUCCUUAGUUAUGGCCAAGAAUUCAGCCUCUCCCACACUGGGACUCCGUAAGCAAAUUUGUACCACAGAUCUAUGGUGGUUCUUCUUCUUAGUCGUGGCCAACCGAGACAAUGCGUCGACCCUCAUGUUAUCCUCUUUGGGGACGUGCUCCACCGUUACCCUUUUGAACCGAGUGAUGUGAUACCUGUUAGAAUAUAUGGCUUUAAACUAGAGGGAGGGUGAAUUAUUUAAAGAGGGUUUUCGAAAACUUUUAAGCCUUGAAUGAGAUUACUUCGAGAAUAUCUUGAUUAAGGAAUCAAUUUUUCAAAACACAAAGCUAAAAGUACAGCACCAGCAAAACAAUCGGUUGUUUCACAGAAACAAUCGGUUGUUUAUACCAAUUAGCAAAUAUUAAAACUGAAUUUAAAGAGUUAAGGGAUAGAGAAAAUGUACACAGAGAUUUAUACUAGUUCACUCUAAACCCAGAGCUACAUCCAAUCUUCUCAAAAGCCACUGAGGAAUUCCAGUAAGCAAUCAAACCUAUAUCACUUACAACACAACCAAGAAAGUGACCUUGAUCCCCUCAAGAAACACACUUCUCUUGGCCAACACACCAACACUAAGAAUGCUAAUCUUGAUCCCCUCAAGAACACACAACACUUCUCAGCAAACACACAAAGAUUCUUGUUCAACAGAUACAAGGAUUACACUUGUUACAGAAGCAAAUCUGAAAUUAAUACAAGCAGAAAUCCUAUCUCACACACUUUGAUCAAUCUCAAUUUCUAAGCAAUCUCAACUUUUCAAAAUCUCAAAAACUUGUGUUCAUUGAAAAAUUCAAAUCCAUUUUUCUAAAUAUAUUCAAAUUUGUUGUUUGUUAUCAAAUCUUAACAAACUAUUCAUUGCAUUUAAAGAUUGGUCAAAGCAUUAAAAACUAUAGCGUAAUCAGUUAGAAAAUCAUUUAAAGCUCAGUCAAAGCAAAAACCAUUUUUAUGUUAUGGUACCAAAACAAACAAUCGGCUGUUUCCUCAAAUCAAUCGGUUGUUUUGGUUUUAACAGCUCAACCAUUUGAAAAACAAUUUUCAAUUUUUUCUAAAAACACCUAAGAAUAAAACAAUCGGUUGUUUCGACAAAACAACAGGUUGUUUUUCACUUAGCUUGAAAAACACUUUUUCUUUUAAAAAGAUUGAGAAUGCCUAUGCUUUGGAUGCAAUCAAGAGUGGAUUACAAAACUCAAUCUACCCCAGAUCCUAUCUAAGACAACUCAGCAACAGCAAGCACAACCUAGCCUUCAACAUCCUUCAAAGGGUUUUGGAUUCUUCAAAGCUUGAACACCACUUGGUUCAACAAUGUCCCCCUAUUUGAUGAAGACAAAUCCCCGGUGCUUGUGUUUGACUUGAUUGAAUCUGAAGCAGUACCUGCAAAAAUAGCAUAUCUACCAUCCAAUGCUUCUUACAACAGCAGGUUAGUUUUUCACACAUUUAAAACAUAAAACCUGAUAAACAAUCGGUUGUUUACUCGAAACAAUCGGUUGUUUCUAUCAGCAACAGCAGAAACCAGUUUUAUAUAAGAGAUUAAAUAGAUUUAAACAGAUUCAGAUAAGGAUACACAUGACCAAAUAAUUCUCCCCAUAUUUGUCUUCACAAAUAGACUUUAACAUGUAAUUAAAACAGAUUUAAGAGAGAUUAUUAAGAUCAAGGAUACCUAACUCAUUUCUUAGAAAGAAGAACCUUUCCUUUGGUAGUGGUUUAGUGAAGAUGUCAGCUAACUGCAGUUUGGUCUCCACAAACUUCACUUCACAGUUCCAUUGUUUACAUGAUCCCUAAUGAAAUGAUGUCUUAUCUCAAUAUGUUUGGUCCUUGAGUGCUGAAUUUGAUUUUUGGUAAAGAGAGUCUUGUCUACCAUUCCCCUUUCAUAACCAUGUGAUCUUGCCGGUUCACUUAGCGCUAAAGCGUUGCCUCGUCACGAACUCCUCACUAGCUUGACUCCACGUGCCCUUCAAGUCCCCACCACAAAAAGCUUCUCUGAGAACCUGAAAACACAAGGUGGCGCCUCUGCGGCCGGUGGCGCUCCGACGCUCAAGUCAGUAACAAGAACACCCAAAACUGAGAGAAAAUAUGCUCUGUAGGACCGUACUAAAGGCACACAACCCUAGCAACGAGCCGUAAUGAAAACGUACCCCUGCAAAUUCUGUUAAGGUUACCUUUAUAGCUAGGUUUCUUCUCUCUCCAGGCCGUUAUGCUUUUGGACACGUGGCUCGCAUCCAACCCUGCACGUGUUGCCAUCUGGGCUGGGAUAGCAGGUAGCGCCCAGCCCUACACGUGUCAUCAUCUGAGUCAGGAUAACUCGAGCGUCAUUUCUCUAUUGCUCCCAACCCUACACGUGUCAUCAUCUGGGUUGGAGUAACUGGUAACAUCCAACCCUACACGUGUCGUCAUCUGGGUUGGGGCAACUUGAAUGUUAUUUAGGAGUAAGCUAGAACACGACACGCGGCUAAGUCCUCUACUCAAGGAGUAAGCUAGCACGCGACAUGCUCUGGAACACCACCUGACAAGGCGAGUAUCGGGUGCAGCAAAGUGCACCAUCUCUGUGAUAUCGCUUGUCGCUUAAUGGCACCCUCCUUAUCGCAGCGCCAUGCAUGUUCUGGCUGAGGAAACCUUCCCUUCAACGAAUGUCCACUCUGGGAAUCCUGUCGCUAAUAGGCAAGAUGUUCCCCUUCAACCCACACACCCUUCACGCCCCAUGCUGGCGCAAUAAUCACCUUACUGAAAUUAUACGCUUGAACUUACUCUUCCGAGCCUUCAAUAGCUUCUACUGAGUUUACUGGCGAUGUGCUCCCCGCGGCGGUGUCAGACCACCUGAUCUCCCAUUGCCAAACACGUCGAUGACAGAUAAACCCGGCGACAACCAACCAUGUUCACUACAGAACGCCAGUUCCAUGAACCGGCGACUACGCUCACCUCUGAACCAUCCAUCUUUCUCUUGCCCACGUGUUCCGCUGAGCACGCCCCACAUAGUCACGGCAAGACACGUCAUCACACCCGAUGACCUGGUCGGUACACAAGCCCCCAGUCUCGAGCUGCGACUUGUUCAGCGAGGAGACUAAAGAGGUUUAAAUCCGGCGGCUUUCGUGGCUUUGUGCGUUGGCGCUAACACUGUUCACUGACUUGACAUUUCACCAACUUCUUCGAUCAUUCGACACGUGGACUCAUCAACGACCAUUAUUCACUGUCGUUUGCGCUUCUCGCAACGUUCGAAACUCUUCGAAACUCUUAAACACUUCGCGCACAUUUCACUGUUUCAUUAUCUUCUACCUCUCUUCAUACUCUCGAAACGCUCCAGCGAACGCUCCGAUUCUCCCAACCUCCAUCUUUCUGACUACUCUUCUGAUCAUCUAAAGGUAACUUUUUUAUCACUUCUACUGAUAUUUGCUGCAUUUUAAUCGGUUUGCAUAAUCCAUUACCUGUCUGGAGCAUACGUUGUGGGAUGUUUCUCUGCUUUGUUUUUCUCUUCUCUGCGUUUAGGGUUUCUGAACCUUUCUCUGCGAGCCCCUCUUGUUCUUCCCUCUUCUCUUCUUCUGUCGAGUCUUUCUGUUUACGAACACUCAUACCUUUUCGUCUUCUUGCAGCUUCCUCGAUGACUCUUUCAAAAAUCACACCAAACCCUCCUCCAUCUCCUCGCAACCCUCCGGCGAAAACCCGUAGGGCAAACCCCUCUUCUUCCCGCGACCCCCCAAGGGGUCCCAACGUCCCUUCCGACCGAGUCGCGAGACCCGCGUCCUCUCAUCCUAGCCAACCACAACCAAACCCACCACAAACCAGCGCGAUGGCGAAGCCUCUUCCAGAUUACAAACGGCUAUACCCGUGGGCUUCCGCGACCUUGCUGGGUGAGACCUCAUCCGUCAACUCCGAUCGCGACCUCCUUCGCCUCAAGAAAGGUGAUAAGGAACACCUAUCUUUCAGUAAAGAGCACGAUGACAAAGUAAUUGUGCGGCCUUGUCCUCCCGGUGAGCCAAUCUGCAUCGACAAUCAGGGGAGCAACAACGCCUCCUUCUGCUUCAUAUACACUACUAUGUUCAAGAAGCUCAAGCUCCGGUUUCCCUUCACACGCUUUGAGAGGGAGCUCCUGACCGAGCUCGACAUAGCCCCCGCCCAGCUCCAUCCCAACAGCUGGGCAUUCGUACGGGCUUACCAAAUUAUCUGCGCGCAUUUGGGACACCCGACCUCUGUGGAUGUAUUCCUCUACUUGUUCGAGGCGAAGAACCCGGGCGAUCAUUUGCGGGUCAGCCUAAAUGGGGUCGCUGGGAGGUUUAUCCUCUCCAUCUUCCAACAAUCCUAUAAGGAUUGGAAGGGGAAGUUUGUACGCGUAUGCUGCAGCGAUCAAGACCCUUCCCUCCUUGACGGGUUCCCCUUGUACUGGGUGAACAAGGGAAGGAAAGGCUAGGGAGCCAGAAAAAAUGGGGGAGCUCGACAAGGACUUGUGCAGUUUCUGGAAGAAAGUCGCUUCUUCCAACGUGACCCUGUCGACUGCCUCCAUCGUCUCCUUCGAGUUCUAUGAAAGCCAAUUGGACUUUCACAUAGGUCUGCCCUUAAGCCUUCUAGCUCCCUUAGCUUGACUUUGCAUUUUCUCGUUUCUACUCUGAUGUUGUUGUUCUCAUUUCGCAUAUGGUUUCAACCUCCUCCAUGCAUUAUUACUUGUCGAUUUUCUGUGUUGGUUGAUAACUGUUGGCCCCCCUUUGCAGAUACAAUGUUGGGACAAGACAGGAUGGUUGAGCUACGCGCCAUAGCCAGGUCCCAUAAGCUUGCGACGGGCUCUCAAACGAUCCCGAACUCUGUUGCGGAGAUCGCCGCCGCCCAGGGCCAAUCCCCACCAGUUGGUCCACCCGCUGCUGCCGCUCUUCCAGCCCCCCAACGCAAGAAACUACCUCUCAAGAAGGCCAAAAGGAAAGCCCCCAGGGUAGUAUCUGACGAAGAGGCGGAUGAAAGCACCGAGGACGGGCUAAUCUGCAAAAGGAAAAGGGUGGCGGUGACCGAGCCCCCAGCAAUUGAGAGCGCCGCCCCAAACUUCAUCGAGAACCCCCCAGCGCCUCCACACCAUUCGAGUCCGCUGGGGACGUUCUCGUUUCAAACGCCUCAGUUGCUGAAGGCGCUCCUAAGCAACUUGCUGAUACGCAAGCCUCCCACAAGCCGCCGAGAAGCUGCCUGCCUCACCACCACGUCUCGAAGCUCCCCCCGCCGUCCAACCUUGUGAGGGUGGUGGUGAGCACCAACCUCCGCCUCCUCCAACAACCUCAGGCCUCCCAGCCGCUCUUCAAGAAGCAUUGAAGUCCUUCACCGUGCGCCUAAGUGCCAUGGUUGACGAUUGUCUUCCCCAAAUCGUCAGCGAAGGGCUCAAGGACUCUUUGGAGAAGUUUGAGCUCGAUAACCGGAUCAACCAAGAGGUGGUAAGCACCGCGAAAGCUGCAGCCGAGAAGACCAAAUGCGACAUGCUGAUGCAAGGCCUCGAGUUUUCGCGGGUCGAAAAUGCCCUCAAGGACGAGCUCCAGAGCGUGCGCAAAGACAGCAAAGAACUGCGCAAGAAACUUCAUGAUAAACUCCAGGACGCCGUCGAGCUGGAGAGCAGGAUCGUCCCUCUGAGGGAGAAAAUUGCCACGCUGGAGGAGGCAAAGAAAACUGACGCCGAAAAGAUGGCCAACUUAGAGAAGAGAUCCAUCGAGAGGGAGACUCUUCUGGGAAAGGUUGAGCAAGAUCGGGAUAAGGCUUCCCAAGAACUUAGCGAAACUGCUACUGAGCUUGCCCGAGUUCGCGAGGAGAACAGCGGGCUCAAGAAGAAGGCCGACGAGCUCGAGCUUGAAGUCACCCAGGUUCGUGAAGAGAACAGUGGGUUCAAGACGAAGAUCGAUGAGCUUCAGCUUGAGGCUGCCCAAGUUCUCACUUCCGGCUUUGGCACUGCUUUGGAGCAGUUUGCUUGCAAAUAUCCCGACCUUGAUCUCUCCUAGUUCUCAGUAUACAACGAGGUGGUGGACGGCAAGAUCGUACCCCCAAUUGAUUUAUCGCCUUGAAAACUCUUAUGUUUUACCUUGGUCUGUAAUAAUUUUCAUUCUGUUUGAACUGUUUGGUACUCAUGUGCACAUAUAUAUAUAUAUAUAUAUAUAUAUAUAUAUAUAUAUAUAAUCUUCUGACUUAUCUGUCGUGCAAUCAACUGGUUUAGCUGUAUGGUUUUUUCUCAACUCAACGUGCCUUGUACCAACCGGUACUUAACUUUCUGCAACACACCUUAACUUAAACAAACGGUUAAUUUGAACAAUAACGUUUAACACGAAAUCACUUACUCGGCAAAAAGGGCUUAGGUCGAUCUUAGCAUCUGAAACCUCUCUUGCCCGAUUUACUAAGGGCCAAAGGCAUUUCUACGUCGUCGCCCAGAACUUUGCUGACGCGGCCCUUGCCAUGCGAUUCUCUUUCUGUUUCAAUCUCACACAAUGGGCUUCUGGCGACAUCACCUUCUUCUUAACUGGGAACGUCCCCUGCGGGACCGCCCUCUGAUUCCAUCUUUGCAUAGCUGGGAGGAGAGUCGUCUCUUGGAUCGCUCUCUACCUUCUCCGAGCCUUUAUCCUGAGAUAACUUACAUCAUUGUUCCCUCACCUGGGGGUAGAGUCGCCUUUCAGAUCCUUCUCUACCUCCCUGAGUUUUAGAACAAUGAUUUGGGUGGUGGGGUGCCCUCUGCGAACCUCCCCAGCCGCCCUUAAACUUCUAAUUUAACUGGUCUUACUAGGUCAAUAUUGGUGUCUCACUUAAGGGGGAAAAAGUUCUUCUCCAACCCUCCUUUCCCAUACUUAAGAUUGUUGACACCCCUGACUUUUCAGUUUCAUCUUGCCUGAACUCACUUGAGGGUGAGAAGGACCUUUCCUGAUGCCUCAACUUGCCCAGGGCCUACAUCUCCUCCUCCCCCGGAUGCAUUGAGGGCUUUCAACUUGCCUCAAUUUGCUCACGCAAAGAGGUCUUGUGAUCUGUUCUUGCCUGUGCUCGCUCAUGGCGAGGAGGACUUCAAUCUUUUCUCGCCUACGCUCGCUCGAGGCGAGGAGGUCUUUCAAAUCUCUUUCUCGCCUACACUCGCCCAAGGCGAGGAGGUCUUUUGCAUCUCUUUCUCGCCUGCACUCGCUCGAGGCGAGGAGGUCUUUUAAAUCUCUUUCUCGCCUGCACUCGCUCGAGGCGAGGAGGUCUUUUAAAUCUCUUUCUCGCCUGGUGGCGGUCAGAAAAACUUCAAUACUUGUGCCUCCGAUCGCCGAGUGGCGGUGAGGACUUAAAAACUUUGUUUUUGUGCCUCCGAUCACCAUAUGGCGAUGAGGACUUAAAACUUAAACUUGCACCUCCGGUCGCCGAGUGGCGAUGAGGGUUUAAAAUUUCAUGUUUCGAAGGUUUUGUACUGGAUGCAUGCGAUUUGGAUUUACCAUUUUUAAUCUUACCCCACAAACUUGAAAAACAAACAGCAUGCAAACUUAAUAACUGAGAAACUUUGAUAAACUUUGAAACCUUCUUUAUUGGGUGGCCUCAUUAAAAACCCUUCUCAGGGAAAAAAGAGUGCCCCCUUGAAAAAUUGUUUAAACUGAUACAUCUUAAACUGUUGGAGUUUAUUGCUACUUACAAUGCCUUAACUGUAGCAAAACUUGAGGUGGGUGGCGUUCCAAGUGCGAGGAAUCGCCCCUCCCUCCAGCGUCUCCAAGCGGUAGGCGCCGUUCCUGAGUGCUUCGGUUAUUCUGAAUGGACCUGUCCACUUGGGUGACAAUUUGUUUUUCAUCUCGUACUGGUGGGCCUUCCUCAUCACCAGGUCGCCAUCUCUGAACUGCCUCGGCUUUACCUUGGAGUUGUAUUUACGCUCGACCCUUCUCUUUACUGCUUCGGCCUUCACCCGCGCUUCCUCCCUGACCUCGUCCAGCAAAUCCAAGUUCAUCCUCCUUUCUUCGUUCGAAUCUUCCGACACGAAGUUCAGGAAUCUCGGCGAGCUUUCCUGGAUUUCAAUUGGAAUCAUCGCAUCGCAUCCAUACACUAAGCUAAACGGGGUUUCGUGGGUUCCCGAUUGCUCAGUAGUAUGAUAUGCCCACACUAUGCGGGGAACCUCCUCAACCCAAGACCCCUUGGCCUUUUCCAACCUCCUCUUCAAUCCUCUCAGCAGAACCCGAUUAGCGGAUUCAACUUACCCAUUCGUUUGCGGGUGUUCCACGGAAGCAAACACCUGUUGUGUCCCGAUGUCCUCGCACAGCUUCUUCAACAGGCGGCUUGCGAAUUGGGUCCCAUUGUCUGAUACUAGACGCUUGGGCACGCCAAAACGACACACAAUAUUCUUCCAUACGAAACUUUGGAUUUUGUGCACGGUGAUUUGGGCUACUGGUUCUACUUCAAUCCAUUUCGUGAAGUAUUCGAUCGCCACAACCAAAUACUUCAUUUGUCUGAUUGCCAACGGGAAGGGUCCCAGGAUGUCGAUUCCCCACGUGUGAAACGGCCAAGGGCUGUAGAUUGACUUUAACUCUUCUGGGGGCGCCUUGUGCCAGUCGGCGUGCUGCUGGCAUUGCUUGCAACACUGGGCAUAUCUCUUGCAAUCUUCCCUCAUUGUGGGCCAGUAGUAGCCUGCACGGAUAGCCCUUGUUGCCAGAGAUCGACCUCCAAUGUGGCUCCCGCAAAUCCCCUCAUGGAGCUCAGCCAUAAUCCUCGUGCACUUCUCUCCAUGUACGCAUACAAGAAGAGGGUGUGUAAAUCCGAACCUGUACAGCUCGCCGUCAAUAAGGGUAAACUUGCUGGAGCUCUUCUUUAUCUUUUUGGCCUCUGUUGAGUCCACUGGGAGCACGCCAUCCGCUAAAUAGCGUUGGUAUGGCGUUAUCCACGUGUCUGGUUCGUGGAUAGCGCAAACUUGCAUCGUUCUCACCUCUUCCGCUGGGCGCGCUCUGACCCUCGGCGUCCUCAAAGUUUCAUGCGUUAGGGAUCUAUGGCUUCUCGUCGUUCUUUCCGUCGAUCUGCAAACAUGAAGAACCUGGUGGUCUGCCACGAAUGCUCGAGGCGCUUUCAAGGUUUCUUGAAUGACAGUCCUCUGUCUGCCCCCCUUGCCCGAACUGGCGAGCUUGGCUAGCAAGUCAGCUCGGGCAUUCUGCUCUCCUGGCACGUGCACCACUUCAAAUAAAGCGAAAGAUCUCCUUAGCUCUUGCACGUACUCCAGGUAGGCUCCCAUCUGCGGGUCCUUGGCUUGGAACUCGCCAGUUACCUGUCCAAUGACCAGCAGUGAGUCGCUUUUGGCUAUUAGCACCUUCGCUCCCAUCUCCUUUGCCAACAGGAUACCGGCGAUCAAGGCCUCAUAUUCUGCUUGAUUGUUGCUUGCUUUGAAAGCAAACCUCAGUGAUUGCUCUAUCAACACACCGUUGGGUCCCUCCAAAAUGACCCCAGCCCCGCUGCCCAGCUGGUUGGACGACCCAUCCACCAAGAGUACCCAACGAAAGUCAUCCUUAGCGUUUUGCGCCGUUUCAGAAGACAUCUCGACCACGAAAUCAGUGAAAAUUUGCCCCUUGAUCGAUCCCCGGGGCUCAUAUUUGAUGUCGAAUUCCGACAGCUCAACCGCCCACUUCACCAUCCUUCCAGCUACAUCUGGUUUCUUCAAAACCUUCUGGAUUGGCAAGUCAGUCAUUACCAACACCGUAAAGCUCUGGAAGUAAUGGCGCAGCCUUCUCGCCGAAAAUACAACCGCUAACGCUGCCUUUUCUAAGGCCUGGUACCUCACUUCUGGGCCUUGCAACACCUUGUUAACAAAAUAUAUGGGUUUUUGGACCUGAUCUUGAUCCUGGACGAGCACUGCGCUUAUUGCCCUCUCAGUUAUGGCGAAAUACAGCCUGAGUGGCAUUGUGGCUUGGGGUUUGCAUAGAACUGGUGGGCUUGCCAAAUAUUCUUUGAGCUUUAUGAAGGCCUUCUCACACUCCUUCGUCCAGACAAACCUGUUGUUCCUCUUCAAACACUGGAAGUAUGGGUGGCUCUUCUCUCCACUUGCCGAUACGAAUCGGGACAGAGCGGUCAUCCGCCCCGUGAGCUGCUGCACCUCCUUCACAGUGGCAGGGCUUCUCAUCACCAAAAUGGCGGCACACUUCUCGGGGUUAGCCUCGAUUCCCCUCUUCGACAGGAGAAAUCCCAGAAAUUUCCCUGCCUCUACACCAAAAACACACUUCUCAGGAUUCAGUUUCACCUUGUACCUGGCUAUUGUGAUGAACAACUCUUCCAAAUCGGCGACGUGCUUGUUUUUCUCCAGGGACGUCACGACCAUGUCGUCAACGUAUGCCUGCACAUUCCUUCUGAGCAUAGGUGCGAGCACCUUAUCCAUCAGCCUUUGGUACGUGGCCCCCACAUUCUUCAACCCGAAGGGCAUCACCUUGUAGCAGUAGCAUGACCUUUCCGUCAUGAAGGCAGUUUUCUCUUCGUCCAUGGGGUGCAUUUUGAUUUGGUUGUACCCUGAGAAGGCAUCCAGAAAACUGAGCAGCUUGCACCCUGAUGCACUGUCUACCAGGACGUCUAUGCUCCGCAAAGGAUAAGAAUCCUUAGGACAGGCCUUGUUCAGGUCUGUGAAGUCGACACACAUCCGCCAUUUUCCGCUACUCUUCUUGACCAGAACGACAUUGGUGAGCCAUUCUGGAUAUUGGAUCUCCCUGAUGUGGGCUGCUGCAAGGAGUUUUUGUGUUUCGUCUUUGAUCGCCUGUCUUUUCUCCUCGUUGAACUUUCUCCUUCUUUGGCGGAUGGGCCUGACUUGGGGGUCCAUUGCUAAGCGAUGGCACAAGAAAUCGGGGUCGAUCCCCAGCAUAUCUGAAGCAACCCAUGCAAAUGCAUCCAGGUGUCUACUUAUCACCUUGGCGAUUUGGUCUUGCGUCUCGCUGUCCAAGGUUCUCCCCAGCUUAAACAUUUUGUCGUUGAUCUCCUUCUCGAGCCAUUCCUCCACUGGCUGAGGCUUCUUUUCAUUGGCGAUCAGCGCCCUCGCGAUACCUGUUUCCCUGGCGGUCUCUGAGCAGUUUCUUUCUCCCUCCAACCGAGCGGCGCUCUCGGUCCUCGCCUCCAUAUCUUCCAUAGGCACAUCGCCCUCGGCGGCCACCUCCAACGUCGUAUCCGAAACUCGCCGGGUUUCCUGCGCAGAUCCCACACCAGGGGGAGGCGUUGUGGUUACGUGGCACACAUACCUCUUGUUCUUGAGGUUGUUCUCGUAACACUUCUUCGCCUCCUUUUGGUCAGAGCAAAUGGUGAAGAUCAAACCUUCCAUAGACGGUAGUUUGACCUUCAUGUGCCUUGUCGAAGGCACAACUCCCGUUCUGUUGAGCGUUGGCCUUCCCAACAGUAUGUUGUAUGCCGACGGGGCGUUUACGACAAGAUACCUGAUCUUCUUUGUUCGUGAGGCCAAACCAUUUGUGAAGGUUGUCCUCAACUCGAUAUACCCCCUUACCUCCACUUGAUCGCCGACGAAACCGUACAAGCAGUCCCCAUAUGGCCUCAGUUGAUCGGGGGACAGUUGUAGCUUUUCAAAAGUCGGCCAAAACAUUACAUCUGCCGAACUUCCCUGGUCGACCAGCACCCGGUGGACGGUCCUUCCCGCCGUGACUAGAGAGAUCACAAUAGGGUCGUUGUCGUGAGGUACAACGUCCCUAAGGUCCCCUUUGGUGAACAUGAUGUCCACGUCAGGUGAGUGAUCCUCAAAAACUUCCACUGACAUCAUUGACCUCGCGUACUUCUUGCGUUGCGACGAGCCGGAGAAUCCACCAGCUAUGGUGUGGAUCUCACCGUGAAUGGGCACCUCGUGCUGCUGUCCUUCGCUGCUCGCCGGUGUGGACCCUGACGCUUGGCCCGCUUGCUUCUCCAACAAGUAAUCUUUCAAAAAACCACAUUUGACCAACUCGGCGAGUUGGUGUCUCAAAGCCAAACACGAGUUGAUAGAGUGGCCAAAGCUCUUGUGGAACUCGCACCACGCGUUUGGUUUUGGUCCCAAGACCUUUUCCGUCGUCUUCUCAGGCACCUUGAGCCUGGCAGCAAUGUUUGGGAUGGCAAUCAGAUCGGCCAACCCCAUCACAAACUCGUACCUUAGAGGGCGAUUAGCCUCCCUGGGCCGCCCUGGCCCCUUGUUCUUAUUCUUCUUAGGGUCAUAAGGAUGGCGCAUCCUUUGGUUCCUCUUCCCCGCUGCCGCCUCCAUUACCCUCUGCAGCUGGACCCUUGCUUGGGCGCGCGAUUUAGCUGGGGCCACGUUUCCCCUCUUCUCGGAGACUUCGCUCUCGGCGACGAUGUGAGCCACAGCACGUCGGCGAAUUUCAGCAAACGUGGCGGGGUGACUCCUGAUAAGCGACUCACUAAAGGGCCCAGGUAACACACCCUUUUUGAAAGCGUGUACAAACAUCUCUUCGUCUUUCCCUGGCAAACGGACUAUCUGAGCUCCGAAUCUGUUCAGGAAAUCCUUCAAGGACUCCCCUUGGUACUGCCUCACGUCAAACAGGUCGUAAGACACCAAUGGUGGUGCUUUGUUCACUAUAUACUGCUCGACAAACAUCUUGGAAAACUGUUGAAACGUGGUAAUGUGGCCAGUAGGUAUACUGACGAACCAAUCCAACGCUGUUCCACUAAGGGUGCUCAUGAACACUGAUGGAGAUCAAGCUCAAGUGGACAUGGAGGCCAAUCAACAAGAUCAAGAAGAGGUAGAGGCGCAAAUAGAGGACGCCCAUGGAGGUCAAAGCCCACCUCAAAGGCUUACAAGAAGCAUGUUCAAAGCUUUAGGAGCUAGGGGACAAUUAUUUUCUCUUUUUGUAAUUUCUUUGGUUGAAGGUGCUUAGAGGGAAACAUUAGAAACCUCUAUUGUUAUAGCAUCUUUUAGUCUUUAGUUAGGAACUUUAGGAGGGGUGUGUGUUAGUAGAUAGGUGUAGAAGUAAAUAAGGAGGUGCCAAAGUGAGAGAAGGGAUCACACCUUCCUCAUGUUUUGUUUAGGCGCCGGUUGUAGCUUCUUUUAGGAGGGAAUUUUGAAUUCUCUUAGUUUGAUUUUUCAGCACCUUAGGCUAUAAAUAUAGGUGCUGCCCUUGUACAUUUCAGAUUUGAAUUUUAAUUAGAGAAACUAUACUCAAAUUUUGAGAGAGCAUUGGAGAGCUUUGUGCCUUCUUCUCUAGUCUUAUCUUGAUGGUUCCAUGGUUACCUCAAGUGGCGGCUUGCACACUCAUUUAGGAGUCUCCAUCCUUCUAGUGGCGUGAUCAUCCAACCAUACAUCCAUCUUCAUGAGCUUUCUCCUCUCCUUCCUUCCUUCUCUUUUGAUAUUCAUGUUUUGAGCUUUUGUUCUUGUUUUGGUUCGGCUAUUUCUGUUUCCAGCAGCUGUUCUUCUUCUUUUCCAUGUUUUGGUUCGGUGCUUUUAUAAUUCCAGCACUCCUUUUCAGUUUUCUUGCCUUUUAAUUCAUUUUAAUCGGUUCAAUUCUGUUCUUAUUCAUUUCUAUUCGGUGCAUUUGCUUUUUCCUCUCUUUUUGUUAGUUCAAUUUGACAAUAUGUGGAACUUCCAUAUGAGUUUGGAUUUGGUGCUAGUUUUGGUGAGUUCUUGACUUAGAACAUUGAUCCAAUUCUAAGAAAAAGUGUCUAACUAUUGUCCAACUCAAGUUGAUUCCUAAGAAUGUCAAGAAUCAUUCUCUUCUUUGCUAUUGGAAUCACAUCAAACACCUUACAGUAAACCGUGUCAGACCCUCCCGAGAGCAUCAUCUGAGUAUGAAACGCCGUGAGAUGGGCCUCAGGGUCCUCCACCCCAGUGAAAGACGCUUUCACCGCCACAGUGUUAGCCGGGACCACCGAGUCCAUGAUCUCUUGGGAGAAUGGCAUGGGGAAGCUGUGCGGUGGGGAUGGGGGUGCAGAUCUGUCCCCGACCGCACGCUCCUGAAGGGCUUUGCGCAGCUCCUCGUUAAUCCUGUUGAGCUCUUCAUUCCUAGCUUGCGAGGCCACCAAUGCCUCGUGCAUCCUUUCCUGUUCAGAACGUGACGCGGCCACGUUCUCCUGCAGCGUCCUCAUCAUGUCCAUCACUUGUGUCAUGGACACAUCAUCUUCAUCUGUCGACGACGCGACUGAACUAGACUGCGUUGUCCUCAUCUUUUCUCAGCAAACUUAGCAACUCAAAGAAACUCCAAACUAGACAUUUACAAAAUAUAAUGUAUUGGUGUAUGAAAACCACUAAAAGUAGUUAUGGAAGUUCACCUUAUAGUUCUGUAGUAACUAUCCAUGUUACUCAAUGCUCGGCCUUAACUAUGAGGUAACUGCCUAGUCAACUAAAUAAUAGGGUACACGUAAGGAAGAACGUGGCCUAAACGGUUACUACAAAGUAGCCACUUUAUUUUGGUCCCUACUUAAGUCCAUGAGCCUAUAAAUACUUCAAUUCUCUCACAAAGUAGAUCUAUCUUAUUAUUCGUUGACUUAUACACAAAAUCAUACAUUCUUACUAACUUGAGUAUUAGAGAUUCUUCCAUAGGUACACCACCACUCAUUGGAACAACUAGAAAAUUCUUGUCAUACUCAUAUACUAUACACCUUGAAAUAAGGAUAACUCAUCAUACAAGAACAAUUUCCAUUUGGGAUAUGGAGGAAUGUGCAUGAUGCAAAAAGGGUAUUCUAGAUAUGCAUGCACUUGGGAGUUCAAUAUUGAUGCAAAGACUAUGAAGCUAUGUGGAGGCACCGCUUCCACACUUCACAUUCAGCUUUUUUUCCAAAAUUGAAAAUGUUGGUUGCACAUGUCCCACGGUGCCAGCCUUUUUGUUUUUAAGUUUUUCAAUCUAAAUUUAAAUAUGAUUUAUUAUAAUUAUAUAAUAUUAUGUAUUUUUAUAAUUUAAAUAUUAUAUUUUUAUUUUAUUUUUCAAUUGAAAACUUAAAAUUAUAUUUUUAUAAUUUAAAUCUAUUUUAAAAUAGUAAAUUAAAGUUUUAUUAAAGAUUAAUAUUUUAAAAAGAUAAACUAAACUUUUACUUAAGAAAUAAUCAUAGGAACACCAUUUGCUUUGUUUUUUUACGCUUUUAGUUUAUUCCAAUUGGCCAAUUUUGUUGGGCUCUACGUGCCAAUUUUGCUGUAAGUUGCAAUCUUUCUUUGCCAAAUUACCUCAUAAAUCCAGCAACUUCUUCCUGCAUCACAUCAAUUUAAACUUGCACCCUAUUGUUUUUCAAAUUUUCUAAAAUUACUCUUUUUUUCGAAUUUGAAAAUCCAAAAAUCAAAAUCUCACUCUAAAAUAAAUCAAAAAUGUAAAAAAUACAUUAUGAAAAAAAAUUAAAAUUUAGAAAUAUGUUCCAAAAAUCCAAAUAAAAAAGUAUUCUAAAAAAGGAUUCUGACCACCAAAACUUUGCCCAUAAAUCCAUGUGCAAGCUAGUACUGGUCGGGUCCUAUUGUAUGCCAACCUUAUUUAUGUGGGGGCCACUCAUUUUUUUUUCAUAUUGGUUUAAUUUUUACACCUCGGAUGUGUUCCAAAAUUAUGGGCCUUUGUUUCUAGCCCCUCUUUUUGUUAUUGGUAAGUUCUUUCUACACCCAAUCAUUUUUAACCUCCACCCAACAUAAUUUUUUUGUUUCCAAAAAUGCCCUUCACAACGGAAAUGAAAAUCCAAAACUGAAAAUAAUACAUUCUGGAAAAAUAUAUCUAGAAUUCAAAAUUCAAAAUCUCAUUCCAGAUAAAAAAAAUUCAUAAUACAUAAAAUUCAUUCUGAAAAAGAAUAUUCGGAAUGUAUAACCCUAUUUAUUUAAGGGUAUUUUUGUCUUUUAAUUUAAAAUUGGGUGCAGUGAUAUGGUGCAGGAAGUAAUUGCCUUUGUUAUUUUGACCACCAGCUAUGCUUGUUUUUUUACAAAAAUCUGGGUCUAUUCACUUAGUCCAGCAAUUUUGCUAGCCACCACUAGUUGUUUAUAGUCUCACCCCCCCAGUCUCUUAAAAGAUCUGGGUCCAUUCGGCUAGCGCUCCUUUUCAAAAGACUGGGCACAUUCCACUGGGCUUGCAGCAUUGCUAUUUGCAGCCCAUGUUUCAAUAUCUGCACCGUGCUUUUCAGAACUGUGCCAUUCCACUGGCCCAGAAGCAUUUAUAUUUGCAUUCCAUGUUUGGCAGUUUCUUCUUGCACCCCCACAAUGUUUUGCAAAGAUCAAAUUGUCCCUAUUAAUCCUAAAAUGCACUUGAACUGUAUUUAUUUUUUGCAUUAUGGAUUAUGGAAUCCAGAAAAAUUUCGGAUUGACACUUCCGAUAAAAUUUCGAAUCCACCAAUUCGUAAUUCAAAAUAUUCAUUUCACAUUCAAAAAUCCAACAUUCAAAAAACGUAUUCCGGAUCCACCAAUCCAUAAUAGAAGUAUGCAUCUGGAUUCAGAAAUCUGUAAUUAAAAAAAAAAAACAUUCUGGAUCCACGAAUCCAUAACAGAAUUAGACUUCUGGGUUCAGCAAUCCGAGAAUCAAUAAUUUAUGCAAAAAUUGCUUCCGGAAUAUCCCCUCAUCCGGAAAAAAAAAUAUUCAGUUCUGGAUUGAUGAAUAUGUAGCACACUUCCAGAUCUCUAUUUCCGGUAACCACAGUGUCCUUUUUCAAAUAAAAGAUUAAGAUCAGUUUCUGGAUUUAGAAAAUUUUGGGGGAACAGGAAGAAAAAUGUAGGAGUGCAGGAAGAAGAAGCUUCCAUGUUUUUAUAUUCGUACCACCUUCCCUUAAGAUUCGGCUGGCCCAGAAGUUUUGCUAUUGCUACUCGUGUUUUUUAUAUUAGGAUGUUUCUUUGCACCCAUCAAAUAGGUAAAAUGACCAAAUGCACCAUCUAAUGCGUCUUUAUUCUGGAAAACACACUCCAAAAAAAUUAUUCCAAUAAAUAUAUUAUGGAACAUAUUAUAUACAUUCUGGAAAGUUUAUUUCAGAAAUUUUGUACCGAAAAACAUUUUCCAAAAUUUAAUGAAUUCUGGAAAGUAUCUUCUGAAAAAAAUCUUCCAAAAAAGUCAUUUAAAUUUGGGUAAAAUACUAAAACUGUUUUUUUAAAAAUUGAUUUGGUGCAGGAAGAAUUUUGACAGGUACAGGAAUACCGUUGUGUUUUUAAUAUCCGCACCACUUUUUUUGAAAAGCUUCCGUUCACUCGGUUGGCUGCCACUAUUUUUUAUUGAUAUACCUAUAAGGUUUGGUAGAUUCUCCUUACACCAUAUUAGUUUUGAUUGACACCCAACAUGUUCGUGUGAAAUGAUCAUAAAAUCCUCAAUAAAGUGAAAAUUAGCUUACACUUAAAGUGCACCCAGCAAUCAACACAGUGUCGUUCAUUUUUUUUUUUUGGACAUUCUCUUUCGGAAAUCUUACACACAUGCAGGCACGUUUAAGCGUCAUUUAGGCAACAUUUUUGAGCCACUACGGCAACGACAGAGAGCAAAGGCACCAGAGAAGGAGAAGCAUCGCAAAACGGUGAGUUUUCACAUUCCUUGUGGGUUCUGGAUAUUUUUGUUCGUAACUGUGUUAUGAGUUCCAGAUGUGUAUAUCCGGUUGAGCUCUGGAUAUUAAUAUCCGUAUGCACCGCGAAUGAGCAGAUCCAAAAGUAUUUUUUGUUAGGUUGGAAUUUUGAAAUCCAGAAUGUGUUUAUUAGAUGCGUUUUUUUUCUGCCCUCAAUGAUGUUCCUGCUAUCUCUAUCCUCAAUGAAGUCUCUUUCUAGUAUGUUGUUGAAGUGGACAUGACAUCUUGGUGGUUAAACUAUAUAGUACUGUAUGACUAAUAACUGAAUCACGUGAUUAUAUUUUCUUUCAUAAUUAAUGCAUUUUGAAGUAUAUAAAUGAUAAUAUAAAUAUUUUAGAAUAAAAAGCAAGUGUUCUAGUUUUAUGGAAAAGAUCGUAAUUUUUGUUUCUAUCAACUUGUUUCAUUAACGUUUUAGUAUUUUAUUUUGUAUUUAGUAUAUGACUAAGUUGAAAGUAAGUGAAGUUUAAUGAAAGGUUGUUUUAGCCAAAAAAAAAAAAAAAAAAAUAACUUUGAACUUGGAUUCUUAAAUUGUAAUAACUUGAUUUGGUUUAGAAGAAUUUUGGUUUGACACAUAGAAGGUUGAUUAAGAACAUUGGUUUACAUUAUUUCCUCAUGGAAUGGUUGUGGAAUAUUCCAAUACAUUUCAAUUUUUUUUUACAAAAUUUAGAAAUUUCUUUUACCUUUGUGACUCAGAUGUAUGCAUGCACUUACAUCUUUAUGACUGAACAAGUGUUUUAUUUGGUCUUUAGUUUUGGAGGACCAAUUUAUUUUUUAUUUGAUGGUAUUUUAUGAAUAGUAAGAUGGUGAGGACUAGAGGAAGAGGAUCUUCUAAUUCGAACCGUGUGCGACCAACUGCAUCUGUGAGAAGAAGGCAUGGUGGUCCUAAUACUUCAAUUCCAAAUGAGGACUUUGAAGAUUAUAUUGAACAAGAGGAAGUUGAAAUUGAUGACGAAGGUUAUCCAUGAGGGCCAGUGCAUAAGUCAUUACUGAUUAAUUAUGAAGAUCAUGUGGCCAGACAUUUAUGGGAUGGUUUGGUAAGUAAUGAACAUUAAUCGAGUGUCUUAUAAUUGAGUGUCUUAUGUAUGUAUUUAUUGAUGUUAUAUGUUGAUUAUUGUAGGAUCGUGGUGAGUUGAAGGUCGUUUCUCAUGGGAAAAAAAUAAAUAAGUUAGGAGCACCUCAUGAGCACAUAGAGGUUGCAAUAGACAUGUGUGGCUUAGGUGGUCUGGUUCAUGCAAGUUACGAGAGUUUAGACCGAGGAUUGCUUUGUGCAUUUGUAGAGAGGUGGCAUCCAGAGACAAACACAUUUCAUUUGCCUAUUGGGGAGAUGACCAUCACUCUAGAUGAUGUGUCAAAUUUGUUGUAUAUGCCCAUUGUCGCCCAAUUUUACCUGCACCAGGCGUUAGAUGCAGAUGCAAUGAAUGAUUUGUUGGUAGAAUCCCUACGUGUUGACCGUGGAGUUGCAUCUGAAGAGACACGACGUUGUCGGGGAGCUCAUGUGCGCCUUAAUUGGUUGAGAGAUGUGUACAAGGACGCAUGCUCAAGGAGGUAGUGGAUUGUAGCUACUAAAGCUUAAUUACUUCACCUUGUUGGUUGCACUAAGUUUGCCGACAAGAGUGCUCGUUAGUGAGUGUGAUAUAUCUUGGAUUUUUUGUCGAUCUGAAGCUGAUUGGGGGAUAUGCUUGGGCGGCAGCUGCGCUAGCCCACAUGUAUGAGCAAUUAGGAGAUUAUAGCUACGCAAAUAUUAGGCAACUAGUUGGUUAUGCAACAUUAUUGCGGGGUUGGAUUUAUGAGCAUUUCCCUUUUAUAGGUAUUAGACGUGUGCAAUCCCAAUAUUCUGAAGAGGAACCCCGGUGUAGGAAGUAUGAACCAGGGAAAGUUACUUCAAUUGUUGUUGUACGAUUGCAGCUAGAUACAUUGCCACCAACUUCCAUUCAUUUUUCCCCAUACGACGGGAACAGGGAAGAACGUCCAUUUGAGCAAAUAUCGUUAUGUUGAACAUAGGCUUUGAUGUCUCAAAAUCCAAGAAGAUUGCUUGAAGACUUUGUUGUUGCUUGUGUGUGUGGGUUUUAUGUAGUUUGGGUUUGUAAAUCCACUCAUAGAUUUGAUCCAAGGUUGCUUGAUUCAAGUUCUUUUGAAACAAGAUGUUUUCUAAAGAAAGUGGAAAAUCAACCUGUUGAAUUCUCGUUUCAACUGAUUGUAUUACUCUUAGUAAUUUUGAAAAGAAUUUGAAAAAGCUUGAAAUUGGUUGACUUUGUUAUCAAGCCAAUUCAACCGAUUAUUUCGUGUUUUCAAUCGAUUGAUUUUUGAAAAUUCUUAACAUAAUUCAGUUGGACUAAUUUAAUCUAUUUUGUUUGUUUUAAAACUGAUUUGGCUUUUGCAUUAAAUGCUUUUAACAACUAAUUGGAGUAUAUAUAAUUUGUUUUACGCUCCUAGUUGUUAUUGAUUCAUGAGAAUACAUUCAAAUAAACUUUUUCCAAGAUUGCUUCAAGCUUUGGAUUCUUUCUAAGAGUGGAAUAGGAUUGCUUUGUACUUCUUCUAUUCAAUUUGUGCUUGUAUCAGAUGUUAUCAUUCAGUUUCUCUCUUGACUAUUGUAUUUCUAUAAGAACUAUUGGUGUGCAGAUUCAAAGGGUGUUCUAAAUUUUGUGGUGUGAUUGCCAAAGGUGGUGUGUGUUCUUGAAGGGUUCAAGAUCACCACUUUGGUGUUUGUGUUGUAAUCAAGGUGUUUUAUUACUUAGUGGAAUACUCAGAGGUUUUUUGGGGACUGGAUGUAGCUCUUGGCUAAGAAUGAACUAGUAUAAAUUUCCUAUGUGGAUCUUUUUAUCCUUUAUCUCUUUAAAUCUGUUUUAGCUUGAAGUUUAUAAUUACUGUUAUAAACAACUGAUUGUUUCGCAAAAACAACCGAUUGAUUUUUUGUUGUUAAGUGAAAAUUAUUUUUAAAUCAGCUGAACAGAUUUCUAAUUAAUUGAUUCUCAUUGGCCUACACUAUACCUUCAAUAUUUGCGAAAAUCUUUGAUAAACAAUUCACUUCCCCUCUUGUUUAAGGCCUCCAUUUCUAACAAUUGGUAUUAGAGCUAGGUUCUUGAAAGUCGUUCAAGUUUUUUAUCCUAAAAUAUUUUUUCAUUGUUGAAAAACUACCCUUUGGAGAUGGUGCAUCUAUUAACAAACCACCUCUGUUUUGUGGUUUAAAUUACCAGUUUUGGAAGGUAAGGAUGAAAAUCAUUGUAGAAUCAAUUGAUAAAGGAAUUUGGGAUGCAAUUGAAAAUUUUCAUUUUGUUCCUAUGCUUAGAAAAUGAUAAAGUAAUUUCUGAAAAGCCUUGGUCACAAUGGACUGCGCAUGAAAGCAAACAUGCUCAAUAUGAUUGUAUUGCAAAUAAUAUCAUUACAUCUACCUUAAAUUCUGAUGAGUUUUUCAGGGUAUCACAAUGUGCCUCCGCAAAGGAAGUGUGGGAUACUCUUGAAGUCACUCAUGAAGGAACAAAUGACGUGACAAGAGCAAGGGAGCAUGCUCUUAUCCAAAAAUAUGAGAUGUUUAGAAUGCAAAAAGGGGAGACAAUUGCAGAAGUACAAAAGAGGUUUGCUCAUAUUGUCAACCACCUCAUGAGUCUUGGAAAAAUGUUUGAAAAAUAGGAACUCAACAUCAAGAUACUCAAGUGCCUAGACAGAUCUUGGCAGCCCAAGGUCACAACCAUCUUUGAAUCUAAAGGUUUAACAUCCUUGACAAUAACUUCACUGUUUGGGAAUCUUAGAGAACGUGAAUUGGAGAUGAAUAGGCUGAAUGUUAAAGAAAAUGAAGAUAAGCAUGUGAGAAACAUUGCCAUGAAGGUUGUUGGUCAUAAAAACUGUCAAGUCUCAAGUGAUGAUAGUGAUGGAGAUCAAGAUCAAGAAGAAAUAGAGGUCGAAGAUUAAGGACAAAAGGAGGUAGAAUCCGAAGUUGAAGAAGCUCAAGAAGUCAUUAGCUUACCUCGUAGGCUUACAAGGAGCAAGUUUAAGGAAUUAGGAAGUAGUGGUAGAUUGUUUUCUCUUUUUAUAAUGUCUUUUGUAUAAAAAGUAUAAUGUUUAAAUACUUAGUCUUUAGAAAGGUGCUUAGAGGGAAACAUUAGAUACCUCUUUUGUAAAGCAUCUUUAGGCUUUAGUUUAGAAUUUUCUAGAAGGUGACUCUUCAUAAGUCACUAGAGGCGUUAGCUUAGGAGACUCUUGGGUAGCUUAUGGUACAAGCUUUGUAAAGCUCAUGACCGGCCCUUGCUCCUAUAAAAGGAGGGCUUGGGUCCUUCUAAAUUCAGAUUGGAAAUUUGUAGUAACAAAACUCUCCCAAAUUGGUGAUUGAGUGUAGUGAGAACUUGUCUUCUCCUCUUCCUAGUCUCAUCUUGAGUACCUUGGUUCCCUCAAGUGGCAGCAAUUCACACUUAUCUUGGAGCAUUCACAUUUCAAGUGGCGUGUUCAUCAACCAAGAACUACAACCACAUAAGUCUUCUUUCUUCUCCAUCUAUUUCUUCCAUUUCCAUGCUCAUAUGAACUCCUAAACAUGUCUUAGGUUCCUUUCUUGCAAUUCUAUUCGAUGCUUUUGUUUUAAAUCAUAUUUUGUUCGGUUCAUCUUCUCCCUUGUUGGAAAUAAUCGGUUCUUCUUCAUUUUUUGUUGAUUUGUUCGGUGCAAUUCACUUGUUAUGCAAUUUAAUUGGUUCAUUUGCAUUCUUACAUCUUUUAAUCGGUUCAAUUGACAAGAAAUGGGUCUUCCAUGUGAGCUUUGGUGUUUGGCGCAAGUUUUGGCGAGUUCUUGAAACAUAGAACAUUGAUCCAUUUCUAUAAAAGUGCCUAUUCAAUCUCCAACUCAAGUUGAUUCCAUAAAAUGUUAAAUAAUCUUCUAUAUCUUGCUAUUGGAAUCAUAUCAGAUAGUGGUGGAGAAACCCUUAGCUUGCUGACCAGGAAAUUCAUCAAAUUCUUGAAGAAAAACAACAACAAGAAUCAACCAUCUUAUAGGUAUAACAACAAGAUUUCUUGCCCUCAUUGUGACUUGGAUUCUAACUCCAAGGGGGAGUAAUCAUUCAGUGCUUACUGAGGAAGAUCUGGUGUAUAUCUUCUGCAUCAUGAAGAAGAUCAAAAUCAAUUGGAUCCACAUCAUCAAAGAGCACAUGCAAAAGGCUAUGAGGUUAAGUGACUAUCACUAUCCGUAUGUUGUUUUGGUAUCUAAUUUUCUACUCUAUUUUGAAGUGAACCUUGAAGAUGAAACAUAUGAGUUGGUCAAGUCAACUCAAGAGUUGAACAAUGGAUCACUCAGCAAAAUGGGUUUUACCAAAGUAGGUGGCAAAUGGAUUAGCAAAGAUGGUGAUCUUGGUGCCUCAUCUAGUGCUGCUGCUGAUCUUGAACAAGAUGAACCUGUUGAUAUAGAUGUUCAACAUGAAGAUCCUCCUGAAGAUUAUCAAGAUGUUGGACCUAGUGCUGGGGCUGGAAAUCAAGAAGAAAGGAUGCAAACCAUGUCUCCUUUUGAGAGACUCAUGGUAAAUAGGCUUGAUAGCUUUGCGGAGAAUCAAAGAAAUCUCCAUGAUCUCUGUGUCAGUAAUUUCCAGAGGUUUGACAACAGGUUUGACAACAUGGAUGCACACUUCAUGACUCUAGAUGAACAGAUUGAAGCUGUCCAGAAUCAAAUCUAUGAUCUUCAAUAUGGUGAUGAUGAUGAAUGAAGAAAAACAACCGGUUGAUGUAUCGAAACAACCGAUUGUUUUUUGUGGUUAUAUCUGGUUUUCAAAUUUUCUUUCUUUCUGAUGUUGCUGCUUUAAUUCUGAUGUAAUCAAAACAAUUAUCUUGUUUUAUCUCUUCUUUUUUUCUAUUUGUGAAGACAAAUAGGGGGAGAUUUAUGCUGUUUGUGUUUGAUUUCGGUUUUUAUGUUUUCCUGCAAAACAGUUUGCUGUUUUUUUUAAUGUUGUUUACUCUGAUAUUAUGCUCUGAUUUUCUGUAUUUGUUUCUGUGCUAACCAAAUAUCAUAAGUUCUAUGUUUUGCUUAAAAUUGUAUCUUGCAGGAACUGCUUCAGAUUCAAUCAAGUACAACACAAGCAUCAGGGAUUUGUCUUCAUCAAAUAGGGGGAGAUUGUUGAACCAAGUGGUGUUCAAGCUUUGAAGAAUCCAAACCCUUUGAAGGAUGUUGAAGCCUUGGCUGAGCUUGUUGUUGCUGUGCUGUUUUAGUUAGGAUCUGGGGUAGUUUGAGUAUUGUAAUCCACCCUUUGAUUGGAUCCAAAGCAUAGGCAUUCUCAAUCUUUUUGAAAGAAAAAUAUUUUUCAAACUAAGUUAAAAAAAACCAAUUGUUUUGUCGAAACAACCGAUUGUUUUGUUGAAACAAACGAUUGUUUAUACUUAGAUGUUUUUAGAAAAGAUUGAAAACUGUUUUUCAAAUGGUUGAACUGUUAGAACCAAAACAACCGAUUGAUUCGAGGAAACAACCAAUUGUUUGUUUUGGUACCAUAACAGAAAAAGUAUUUUAUCUUUGGCUGAGUUUUAAAUGAUUUAACUGCUUACGCUCCAGUCUUUAAAUGCUUUGACCAAUCAUUAAAUGCAAUUAAAUAGUUUGUUAAGAUUUGAUAACAAACAACAUCUUUGAAUAAAUUCAGAAAAACAUAUUUGAGUAACAAGUUUUUGAAUAAAGUUUUAGAGUUUUUCAAAGAGCUGAGAUUGCUUAGAGGUGUGAUUGAUCAAAGUUUGUGGAAUAGGAUUCUGCUUGUAUUGAUUUCAGAUUAUCUUCUGUAACAAGUGUAAUCCUUGUACUCUGCUAAACAAGUUUCAUUUCUGUGUUUGCUGAGAUUGGCUGUGUGUUCUUGAGGGGAUCAAGAUCAACAAUCUUAGUGUUGGUGUGUUGGCCAAGAAGAGUGUGUGUCUUGUGGUGAUCAAGGUCACUUUCUUGGUUGUGGUGUAAGUGAUCAAGGUGUGAUUGCUUAAUGGAUUUCCUCAGAGGUUUUCUGAGAAGACUGGAUGUAGCUCUGGGUUUAGAGUGAACCAGUAUAAACAUCUGUGUGCAAUCUCUCUAUCCUUAAUCUCUUUAAAUUCAGUUUUGUUUGUUGUUUGCUGGUAUAAACAACUGAUUGUUUCUGUGAAACAACCGAUUGUUUUUUCUGGUAUUGCAGUUUUUGCUUGCUGUUUUGGCAAACUGAAUUCUUUAUCAAUUGUUUCUUGAGAGAAUUUCAUUCUUGACUUAAAAGUUUGCGAAAACCCUCUUUAAACAAUUCACCCCCCCUCUAGUUUAAAGCCAUCCAUUUUAACACAAAGUCCCUCAUUGAUCUGAGCAAUGGCUAGAACUCCUUCAUCGGCAAAAAGAAUGAAAACCAGGGUUGUUAGAAGUUGUGGAAAGAUUGAAGAGUGGUUCUCAGGAGAAUCAGAACAAAUCAACAAAUUUCUACUUGAAACAAGUAGGAAAACUAUCAACAAACCCAAGCUUGUAUCCUUCAUAUGGAUGAAGCCACAAAAUUUGUCCACUGUGCAAAGUCUCCUCAAGGAGCAAAGAUUGAAGAGAUUCCUUGAGCUUACUGGAAACAUAUAUCCAGAUUUGGUGAAGGUAUUUUGCACUAAUCUUCAAUUUGGUGGUGACUCACUUGUGUCUCAUGUGAAGGGUGUAAACAUGGUCAUUACAAAUGAUGUAUGGACUGCUGUGGCUGGAUUAAAGUUCUCUGAAAUCAGAAUCAACAGAGGAAACCUUUGAGUAGGGGAAGAUUUCAACAAAAUCCACUUUUACAAAAGUUGUCUCAAGGAUCCCUAUUCCAAAGUGAGGAAUUUUUCAGUUGGUGGGCUAAAGCUUGAUGAAAGGCUCAUAGCUUUCAUUGUGUCUUGGAUCAUCACACCAAGGGGGAGCAAUCACUCCACUCUUUCAUAAGAGGAUUUUUUUUUAUCUAUUGCAUCAUGAAUAAAGUGAAGAUCAAUUGGAUCCAUACCAUCAAAGAACAUAUGCAAAAAGCCACAAGGUUAAGUGACUUUCACUACCCUUAUGGAAUUUUGAUAUCUAAACUACUGCACUAUUUUGAGGUAGAUAUUGAAGGAGAACUAGCUGAAAUCAUCAAGCCCUCAAGUGAGAUCAACAAUGGAUCCCUAAGCAAAAUGGGAUUUACCAAAAUGGUGGGAGAUGGGUGACCAAGCUGGCCCAAGUGGAAUCAAUGAUGAAGAUGAAGCUAUUGAACCUGCUGCUACUGAUUAUUCUGGACCUAACACUGAUGUUGGGGGAGAAAGAAUCACCUCAAUGACAUCCUUUGAAAGACUUAUGCUCAACCGGAUGGAUAGCUUUGCAACAACAAAACAAUCUCUAUGAGAUGUGCCAAAACCGAUUUCAGCAAUUCGAUCAGAACUUCCAGGGUCUAGAUGCAUGUUUGGAAAUCUGAAUGAACAGAUUGAGGUCAUACAAAACCAGAUUUCAAAUCUAUAGUUUGGCAGGGACCAUAGUCCUUCCUUUUAAGUGUACCAGCUUUCUUUCAUGAACGCUUUAUCUUGUUUCUUAUAUGUUGUCAUUUAAUCCUUUCUUUUGUCUAUUUGAAAAGACAAAUAAGGGGAGAAUUAGUUGGUGCUCUGUGCUGUAAUCCAAGAAGAUUGCUUGAAGACUUUGCUGAUGCUUGUGUGUGUGGGUUUUAUGUAGUUUGAAUUUGUAAAAUCCAUUCAUAGAUUUGAUCCAAGGUUGCUUGAUUCAAGUUCUUUUGAAAAAAGAUGUUUUCGUAAGAAAGUGGAAAAUCAACUUGUUGAAUUGUCGUUUCAACCGAUUGUUUUACACUUAGUGUUUUUGAACAGAAUUUGAAAAGGCUUGAUAUUGGUUGACUUUGUUGUCAAGCCAAUUCAAUCGAUUGUUUCGUGUUUUCAAUUUGUUGAGUUUUGAAAAUUCUUAACAAAAUUCAGUUGGACUGAUUAAUCUGUUAUGUUUGUUUUAAAACUGAUUUGGCUUUUGCAUUAAAUACUUUUAACAACUGAUUGGAGUAUAUAUAUUUUGUUUUACACUCCUGGUUGUUAUUGAUUCAUGAGAAUACUUUCAAAUCAACUUUUUCCAAAAUUGCUUCAAGCUUUGGAUUCUUUCUAAUAGUGGAAAAGGAUUGCUUUGUACUUCUUCUAUUCAAUUUGUAAUUGUAUCAGGUGUUAUCAUUCCUUUUCUCUCUUGACUAUUGUAUUUUAGUAAGAACUGUUGGUGUGGAGAUUCAAAGGGUGUUCUGAAUUUUAUGGUGUGAUUGCUAAAGGUGGUGUGUGUUCUUGAAGGGUUCAAGAUCACCACUUGGGUGUGUGUGUUGUAAUCAAGGUGUUUGAUUGCUUAGUGGAAUACUCAGAUAUUUUCUGGAAACUAGAUGUAGCUCUUGGUUAAGAGUGAACCAGUAUAAAUUUCAUGUGUGGAUCUUUCUAUCCCUUAUCUCUUUAAAUCUGUUUUUGCUUGAAGUUUAUAAUUGUUGCUAUAAACAACUGAUUGUUUCCAAAAAUCACCCGGUUGAAUUUUUGUUGUUUAGUGAAAACUGUUUUUAAAUCAGCUGAACAGAUUUCUAAUUGAUUUAUUCUCAUUGGCCUUCACUAUACCUUCAAUAUUUGUGAAAAUAAUUCAUAAACAAUUCACCCCCUCUUGUUUAAGGCCUCCAUUUCUAACAUGUUAUUCUCCGGUUAUUUGAGGCUUGGAAAGUGGAGACAAUUGCUUUUGCCGAAACGUGUUCUUCGUCAGUAUGGAUAUGUGCAGAUCAUCCCUCGGCACCCAUCUGUAGUUAAAGAUGGCGAUCUGACUACAAAUGAAGUGGUCUGGCAAUGGUUAAAUUUCAAUGAUUAUGUCAUACAGGAUAUGGACGUAGCACCUUAUCUUGGCGCUUGCCUUCAACCGUACAUGGAGUGGUUUCGAAGUAUCACAUCCAUAUUUCAUUGACAUGGCUGAGGAUGAUCGUCUUGUAGUCAUACCUUCAAAAACACUUGCCCACGGACCAGUGGCAACGCAUCCUCAAGAGACACAUCCUGAAACAUCCUGCUUUGGUAUGUAUGAACCAUUAAUAACAUUUUCAUUCAUGUUAAUUUUUGUCUAAUAUUAUGACAUUCAUGGUUGUAGGGUAUUUGUCGUAGAAUUAUAGAGACAUUGCAACCAUUACUUAAUCAUGGUGAUGUGGUGGAGGGUAACCCUGUGUGGGAAGGAAUACAAGUAGCAUUGAUGUUAGCACGAGAAGCGACCAAUGACAGAGUUGUGUGUGUCAGAAGACAAUCACGUAUGAAUGAUUGAUUAUGUAUUAGGACUAUUAUUGUAAUAUUUUUUAUCCAUGAACGAUGUUGUUGUUUGAACUUGAAUUUUAAGUAUUUUGACCUUAUGAAUACCUUUUAGGGUGUGUUUGGAUUAGAGGGUGUGGGGGAGUGGAAAGUUGAGGGUGAGUGGGAGUGGAAGUGUGAAGAAAGUGUGAAGAAAGUUGAGGUUGUUUGGAUUGGGGUAUGUUAGAGUGGAUGUGUGAAGAAAGUUUAUUGGAAAUUGUGAAUGGUGUGAUAGUUGUGAGAGUAUUUUAAUAUAUUUUGAAUAGUAAAAUUUGUAAGAUUACAAUUUUACCCUUUAUAUAAAAAAGAAUAAAUAAUGAUUAAUCCUAUUUCAUAUUUUAGUUAAUUAUAAUUUAAAAUUAAAGUAUAAUUAUAUUAUUUAACAUUUUAUUAAUUAAGAAUUAUUUUUUAUUUAAGUUAAUUUAUUUACAUAAUUUUAAUAUUAUAAAUGAUUUUAUAAAUUAUGUUAUGUUAUAUACAUACAAAUAUAAUUAAAAACAAUAUGAUUAUGUAAAUAAGUAGCAUGAAAAGUAACAUAAAACCUUAACAAUAACAAUGUCAACGUCAAAAAUAACAAACACAAUUCAUCAAUGUUCAACCUGAAACUUAGAAAUAAAAAUAACAAUGACAAUAACAUAAUAAUAACACACUCAAUGGCCUUGAUGACGUCCAAUGUCAGCCAGAGUAACCUUCAUUCUGUCCAUUCGGGUAUUCAUCUUUUCCAUGCCGGACAAAAUUUGAUUUAACAAUUCCCUUUGAGUGGGGUUUUCCUCCUCAGGUUGACCACUUUCAUCAUCUUGUGGUGGCAAUUCAUCCUCUUCAUCAUCUUCUUCGUUUGCAUGUUGCGGUCUACCAAGUUGCCAUAUGCCAUUGACCUGGAAUAUAUUUAAUUUUGUCAUACUUUUUUUGCCAAAGUAAUGAUUCCAGCCUAGCAUUGUUGCUUGUUCAUUGGACAAGUCAAAGCCAUACACCUGCAGAUCCUCGUUAUCAAAUUUGCAUAUGGGAGAGACAUCUUGUUAUCCCGGCAUUUGAUGAUCUGUUGCAUUAUGUAAUGAGGCCAAUUAAUGCGUACGUUAUUCUUGAUUAACCACAUCAUGAAAAUAUCUUCAUUCAGCAGUUGUGCAUAGUUGCUUCCUGAGGGCACAAGAUAUGCACCCAUGUGUAAUGCAACAGUCGGUCAUUCAUCUUCAGACUACCGACAUUUUUCAGAUUUUCACCUUGAACAUCUUCACGAAUCAUGGUGGAUAGUGCUAGUGCUCAACCAAAAUUCACUUCCUCAGGGAUCGUCCCGGGGUUAACUUAAGACUGUCAUACUGUAGAUGAGCAAUGGUCAUCCAAUCCACUUCUUUGAUGUGUAUCAUUUUUCCGCAAAUCUCAAUGGCAAGGUGACCAGCAGGUGUGAAUUUUGCAUUUGUAUAAAAAACCCUUACCAAAUCCUCAUAAUAUGGAAGAUUAAUUCCGAGGAAAGGUUGUAAACCUUGCCAAUUGAGAAGAUUUUGGAAUUCAAAUCCUGGACCAGCAAAAAAUGGAGUAUUCAUCACUUUUGGUGGUAAUACUGUUCUUGCGUGAAAAUUCUUUUCAAAAACCACCAUUUGACGCCUGGUACUGAAGUAUCUUGAAUAAUCAAGAACUUCUGGAAUCCUCGUUGGUGGAGGAGGAACGUCAACAUCUUCUGCUGGAGAUUUACCCUUACGGGUUCUGUUACGUUUGUGGGAUGAUGAUGCCAUCUAUAAUGAAAACCUAUCAAAAUAUUUUUAAAAUUUAUAAUUUCAUUCUGUCAAAAUAUAUUUUUUUAAAUCUGUUUAAUAAACAAUUCAUUUUGAAAUAAAUAAUUACUUUCUACAUUUAUAAUUAAAAUAUCAAUUAUUUGGAUUCUGUAAACUUAUUUAUCUUUGUAAUAAUUUAUUAUCAAUCCUAAAAUAAACUUUUUCAACUUUUUAAAUUACUAUAACAUUUUUUUUUAACAUUUAAUUCUAACACCAAUAAUUUAUGUAAAAUACAAAUUAAAAAAAAAUAACUCAAAAUGAUAUUUCUACUUUAAACUUUUACUGUUAUUUUUAAUUAAUACAACAUUUUUAUAAUGUUUUUUAUUAUAACAUUACUAAAUUAUGUUUAAUCUACAAAAAUAAAAACCCUAUCAAAAUAUUUUUAAAAUUUUUAAUUCCAUUCUGUCAAAAUAAUUUUUUUUAAAUCUGUUUAAUAAACAAUUCAUUUUGAAAUAAAUAAUUACUUUCUACAUUUAUAAUUAAAAUAUCAAUUAUUUGGAUUCUGUAAACUUAUUUAUCUUUGUAAUAAUUUAUUAUCAAUCCUAAAAUAAACUUUUUCUGACUUUUUAAAUUAUUAUAACAUUUUUUUUAACAUUUAAUUCUAACACCAAUAAUUUAUGUGACAUACAAAUUAAAAAAAAAUAACUCACAAUGAUAUUUCUACUUUAAACUUUUACUGUUAUUUUUAAUUAAUAUAACAUUUUUAUAAUGUUUUUUAUUAUAACAUUAAUAAAUUAUGUUUAAUCUACAAAAAUGAAAACCCUAUCAAAAUAUUUUUAAAAUUUUUAAUUCCAUUCUGUCAAAAUAAUUUUUUUAAAAUCUGUUUAAUAAACAAUUCAUUUUGAAAUAAAUAAUUACUUUCUACAUUUAUAAUUAAAAUAUCAAUUAAAAAUAGCACUUAUAAAAUAUCAAUUACUUUUUAAAAAACCUACAAAUUAAAAAUUUCUAUUUCCACUUGUAAAAAUAUUCAUUUUAAAUACAUUUAUAUUCAUAAACAAAUUAUAUUACAAAACCAUAAUCAUCCAAUCAUAAAUAUAAAACAGAAAUAAAAAAAUUAACUUUACAUAAAAAAAAUUAAAAACCUGAAGAUAAGCAACAAUAGCAGCACAAGGAUAACUUUGGAUGAAGAACCGUGCCUGAAAAUCACAUAAAAAAAAAUUAAGAAACAUAGAAUUCAGAAAAAUAUAGAACAUAAUCGAUUAUGCUCUCAGUUAUACAGAAAGGAUAAUCGAUUAUCCAGGCAUAAUCGAUUAUCUUCGUAGGCAAAAAUAAAGCAUAAUCGAUUAUGGCACACAAUAAUCGAUUAUGGUCAUUUUUCAACACUUCACAUAAUCGAUUAUGCCUGUAAAUUUUUACAGAUAAUCGAUUAUGUUAUUUGAAAAAUCGAUUAUCUGCCUCAUAAUCGAUUAUCUUUCUGGUUCAAAUUGAGGCAUAAUCGAUUAUGCACCAUUGCAGAGAAAAAGCUCUAACCUCAGAACGAACCCAGAUGAACCAGAUUAAUCCAGAUGAAUCACAACAACAACCCCAGGACGUGAGAUGAACAAGGUAUCCUAACAGAAACGAAGAUGGCUUAUAGGAAUCUCUCCAACCACACUACAAUGCACUCUCUAUGGCUCGUAUCUUCGGUUUUCUGUGAAUGGAGGAAGGAAUUCAUGCUCUUAUAUAGCCAGCUUCACGCCCACCUACCUCACCCACUCACCCACUGCAUUCACUCUCCUUUCACAGAUUCACAGAGAGUCAAACGAUUCCUGAGCCAAGUCAGGAAUCUCAUGGCUUCAUGUGGCAUGCAUGCAGAGGGCGCAGGGGCACUGUUUCUCUUCAUUCCAGCAAAAGCAAGGGCAACGUUGUAACUUGCUUGGGAUGACUUGACACUCCCACUCUACAGUGCAACUUUCUCUUCAUCUUUGCGCAGAUCAACAUUUCACUCAAAUUGGUCUUUCCUUCCACACUCGCCCGCUAGCAUGCAUGGAUCCAAACGGGGUGCUGUUGUGACUUCCGUCGUCGCCAACAAUGGCACCCCUGGAUCCAAACGAAGCCUUAAUGUUGAUUUUACUUAUAUUCUUUAAAUUGGUUUGGUUUAGUGGGUUUUAGUCCAUUAAAAGUAACAAAAUCAUCACACUGCCAAAAAAAAAAGGAUAAUUGGCUUCCAUAUAUAUAUAUAUAUAUAUAUAUAUAUAUAUAUAUAUGAUGGUGCCUUCCGGAUAAAGAUGUUUGUAAUCAAAGAGUGCUAGUUCCAGAUGACAAUAUCCAUAGGCAAAACUGACACUUUUGGAUGCCAAUAUCCAUAGGCAAAGCUAUCACUUCCGGAUGUUAGUAUCUGUAGGAAAAGUUGACACUUCCGGAUGCCAAUAUCCAUAGCCAAAUAUGUGAUUUCUGAAUAUUGGCAUCCGUAAGCAAAUAUGUGACAAAGACAAAAUUGGAUUUAAAAAGUUACGUCGAGUGCAUAUAAAAAAUGAUAUGGUGCAGGGAGAAAUUGCCACAAGAUUUUAUUUGUUUUAAAAUAACAUUGGGUCAUUAAGUUGGCCCAACAUUUCUCUUAUUUGCCACCUAUUUUUCACAUAUACAAUCACCAACAUAUUUUUGUGUGAAAAUGAAAAUAAAAAUAUAAUUUUGGUGGUAUGUUUAAUUAAAUUUUAGAUAUUUGUAUGACCAUGUGUCAUGAUAUUUAAUACAAUUAUUUGAAUAUUUAUAUGAUCGUAUGCAUCUUAUACUCUUUCUAAAAAAAGUUAAAAUAUAAUUUUUCUAAAUAAAAUUCACGCAAACUGUUAAGAACAUCAGUGUAUAAUUUACACUACCUCCACUUACUAUUUCAUGUCACCUUAAAUUAGUGUCAAUUUUAAUUGAUUAUUAUUGUAUAAUGGAAUGAUUCAGUACCAAAGAUAUUCAAAUAACAGAACUGGGAUAGAAAAGUCAAAUAUAAUUCAAAAGUGAGAUAACUAAUUGUCAGCAGUUUAAACAGUCAAGAACAACAAAUGACAAGAUUUGGCAACUAGUGAGUUUUAAAAAAAAAAAAUCAAGAGGUUGAUGGAUAAAUUAUGGUUAACUAAAUAUCACACUAUAAAUUUUAAGGGAUAAAAUAGAUUAAUAAAAAUGUAAAAUAAUAUUACAUAUUCAUCCAAUCCAAUGACAAUAUUAUAUGAAACUGAAUUUCAUUUCAUCAAAUUAGUUAUCUGAAAAUAAAAAGUCCUAUGCAAAAUGUUGUCGGGCAUACUUAUUGAAACAAAAUAGCACAUUCUUCCUCAAAACAUUAUAAUUUCGAAACUUUAAGACUUGUGGUUCCAAAAAGAGAAUGAAAACACUCUUCUAACUGAUACCAAAAGAAAACACAGAAAAGACAAAGCAACAUUAGAAAUUUCAUUCCAUGAUCCCCAAGUCUUUCCAGAGCAAUUUAGCACAUUCUUCCUCAAAACAAUGCAAUUUCGAAACUUAAGACUUGUGGUUCCAAAAAGAGAAGGAAAACAGUCUUCUAACUGAUACCAAAAGAAAAGACAGAAAAGACAAAGCAACAUUAGAAAUUUCAUUCCAUGAUCCCAAGUCUUUCCACUUCAUGCUUGAUAGAUUCUACGGAGGAAUUCCCAAUAAUAGUUCAACAUUGUCAUUCUGAAAGUAGGGAGAAACCUUUCUAGCAUUGUCACUCUCAAAUAAAGUUUUCCGACUAUUAGAUUUUUUCUUCUCGGAUUUAAUACCAAUGGAUUUGAAUUCAUUUCCAUUUUCUUUCAGCUGAUCCUCAAAUAAGUCUCUCGAAGCAGCAGAUAAAUAAACAGAAUCAACAUAACCUUCAUGUCCCAGCUGAUCAAUCUGUACAGCACAACCAUCUUCCUCCAGUUUAUCCCCCAACAACUCUCCAGAGGUAGGUAAUGCAAUAGGAUUAGACUGGCUUUCCUUAUCCAAUGAUUUGGCAUUAAUCUUCUCUGCACUAUCAUCAUGAAAAUAUGGUGAAACAUAUUGAACACCAACUGGAACUGUAUGUUUGUGAACUUCAGGUCCCAUUUUCUCGGGGUUGAAUUUACUGGUUGCAGCGCCAUCACUAUUCUCCC
This 38213-nucleotide long non-coding RNA is filed under the name Phaseolus vulgaris (common bean). RNAcentral's name for it is "long non-coding RNA (PVUL_LNC005374)". Lineage: Eukaryota; Viridiplantae; Streptophyta; Magnoliopsida; Fabales; Fabaceae. The record is from RNAcentral.